AACUUUAGCCUUAUGCCAUUGCAUUUUUAAACUCAUUUUUCUUAAUCAAACUUGUAAAUGGACUUAACUAUACUUGACUUAAAACUUCAAAAAGACAAAAAGAACUAACACUCAUUCAAACCUUUUUAGGCCUUUGGUGCCUUUGUUAAACUUGAAAUUUUAUUAAAAGCAACUCAUUCACUUUGAAAGUUAUACCACGAACUACGAGGUUUUGAUUCCUCAUUUUAU
Molecule: long non-coding RNA, 228 nt
Filed under: Lathyrus oleraceus (garden pea)
Lineage: Eukaryota; Viridiplantae; Streptophyta; Magnoliopsida; Fabales; Fabaceae
Description: Pisum sativum (pea) long non-coding RNA (PSAT_LNC022349)
Source: RNAcentral